This 540-nucleotide ribosomal RNA is filed under the name Triticum aestivum (bread wheat). RNAcentral's name for it is "partial small subunit ribosomal RNA". Lineage: Eukaryota; Viridiplantae; Streptophyta; Magnoliopsida; Poales; Poaceae. The record is from RNAcentral.
AUGAGGCAUCUAGUAGAGGCGAUGGGGUCGUUUGAGGUGCAGGAAUUUGCAGCGAUGUGCCUCCUACAGGAGCAGGUGGAGGGGAUCGUAGAAAUUCGGGCGAGGAUUGACAGGUUGGAUAGCAAGUUUGAGGAACAGGUGGCUCGGCUCGAUCAGGUCCAAUUGAAGGUAAACCUACGUGUGAGCUCGCUUGGGGACAUCCAUCAGGACGAGGUUCAUGUGGCCCGAGUGCUCAAGGAAUCCGCUAGCGUUCGAGAGGAUGGCCACGCCAGGGUGUUUUGCAAGUUCACCCACGGCGGCAGCAGCACAGGUAAGAGGGUCGACAUCAAAGAAACAAGACCAUCCUCCUCCUCCCGUGGAUCCAGGCAAGGCACCUCACACCCCCACAGUAUUCCUCUUCGUCUGAUGAGCAUGGGUCGAGGCGUCCAUGGAUGCCGAAAAUGGAAUUUCCAAAGUUUGAUGGGGAGGGUGUUCGUAUUUGGCUUGACAAUUGUGAGGCCUAUAUUUAGUUAUAUCAGAUUCCUGAAAGUUUUAAAGUAA